GGCCCAGUAGCGCAGUUGGUUAGCGUGCCGCCCUGUCACGGCGGAGGUCGCGGGUUCGAGUCCCGUCUGGGUCG
RNAcentral lists this transfer RNA (74 nucleotides) under Kribbella sandramycini. It matches the Rfam family "tRNA". Rfam says of the family: Transfer RNA (tRNA) molecules are approximately 80 nucleotides in length. Their secondary structure includes four short double-helical elements and three loops (D, anti-codon, and T loops). Further hydrogen bonds mediate the characteristic L-shaped molecular structure. tRNAs have two regions of fundamental functional importance: the anti-codon, which is responsible for specific mRNA codon recognition, and the 3' end, to which the tRNAs corresponding amino acid is attached (by aminoacyl-tRNA synthetases). tRNAs cope with the degeneracy of the genetic code in two manners: having more than one tRNA (with a specific anti-codon) for a particular amino acid; and 'wobble' base-pairing, i.e. permitting non-standard base-pairing at the 3rd anti-codon position. The record is from Rfam by way of RNAcentral. Lineage: Bacteria; Bacillati; Actinomycetota; Actinomycetes; Propionibacteriales; Kribbellaceae. RNAcentral also lists the same sequence under 8 other names.